UACGGAGGGUGCAAGCGUUAAUCGGAAUUACUGGGCGUAAAGCGCGCGUAGGUGGCUUGAUAAGCCGGUUGUGAAAGCCCCGGGCUCAACCUGGGAACUGCAUCCAAAACUGGCAAGCUAGAGUAUGGCAGAGGGUGGUGGAAUUUCCUGUGUAGCGGUGAAAUGCGUAGAUAUAGGAAGGAACACCAGUGGCGAAGGCGACCACCUGGGCUAAUACUGACACUGAGGUGCGAAAGCGUGGGGAGCAAACAGG
Molecule: ribosomal RNA, 253 nt
Filed under: uncultured microorganism
Description: partial 16S ribosomal RNA
Rfam family: Bacterial small subunit ribosomal RNA
Source: RNAcentral